UUUUGAGAAAGGUCCAAGUCCAAAAAUUUUUAUUAUUUAUUUAUUUAUCUAAUUAUUUAUUUGAUUAAUUAAUUAAAUUUUUUUUUUUUUCGUAUUUUUUUUAUUAUUUUUUUUGGAUCUAAUUCUGAUUGACAUGAUGAAAUGCAAUAUGAAAUGCUAAAUGAAUGCAUGAAUGAGGAGGGCAAAUUUUGGGGUGUUACAGUUGCC
This 207-nucleotide long non-coding RNA is filed under the name Lathyrus oleraceus (garden pea). RNAcentral describes it as "Pisum sativum (pea) long non-coding RNA (PSAT_LNC006070)". The record is from RNAcentral. Lineage: Eukaryota; Viridiplantae; Streptophyta; Magnoliopsida; Fabales; Fabaceae.